CACGGGUGAGUAACACGUAUCCAACCUGCCGUCUACUCUUGGACAGCCUUCUGAAAGGAAGAUUAAUACAAGAUGGCAUCAUGAGUCCGCAUGUUCACAUGAUUAAAGGUAUUCCGGUAGACGAUGGGGAUGCGUUCCAUUAGAUAGUAGGCGGGGUAACGGCCCACCUAGUCUUCGAUGGAUAGGGGUUCUGAGAGGAAGGUCCCCUACAUUGGAACUGAGACACGGUCCAA
RNAcentral lists this ribosomal RNA (233 nucleotides) under uncultured bacterium. RNAcentral describes it as "partial 16S ribosomal RNA". It matches the Rfam family "Bacterial small subunit ribosomal RNA", at positions 102 to 334 of the family's 1533-position model. The record is from RNAcentral.